UACAGAGGGUGCUAGCGUUGUUCGGAAUUACUGGGCGUAAAGGGCCAGUAGGCGGCCAACUAAGUCCGACGUGAAAUCCCAAGGCUUAACCUUGGAACUGCGUCGGAUACUGGAUGGCUUGAAUUCGGGAGAGGGAUGCAGAAUUUCAGGUGUAGCGGUGAAAUGCGUAGAUAUCUGAAGGAACAUCAGUGGCGAAAGCGACUUCCUGGACCAAUACUGACGCUCAUGUGCGAAAGCGUGGGGAGCAAGCAGG
RNAcentral lists this ribosomal RNA (253 nucleotides) under uncultured bacterium. Its description in RNAcentral is "partial 16S ribosomal RNA". It matches the Rfam family "Bacterial small subunit ribosomal RNA", at positions 524 to 776 of the family's 1533-position model. The record is from RNAcentral.